This 292-nucleotide ribosomal RNA is filed under the name uncultured bacterium. RNAcentral's name for it is "partial 16S ribosomal RNA". It matches the Rfam family "Bacterial small subunit ribosomal RNA", at positions 505 to 796 of the family's 1533-position model. The record is from RNAcentral.
GUGUCAGCAGCCGCGGUAAUACGGAGGGUGCAAGCGUUAAUCGGAAUUAUUGGGCGUAAAGGGUGCGUAGGUGGUUUGAUAAGUUAGCUGUGAAAGCCCUGGGCUUAACCUGGGAAGGUCAGCUAAGACUGUUAGACUUGAGUCUAGGAGAGGGUAGUGGAAUUUCCGGUGUAGCGGUGAAAUGCGUAGAGAUCGGAAGGAACACCAGUGGCGAAGGCGGCUACCUGGCCUAAGACUGACACUGAGGCACGAAAGCGUGGGGAGCAAACAGGAUUAGAAACCCUGGUAGUCC